UACGUAGGGGGCGAGCGUUGUCCGGAAUCAUUGGGCGUAAAGAGCGUGUAGGCGGCUUGGCAAGUCUGACGUGAAAGCCCGCGGCUCAACCGCGGAUUGUCGUUGGAAACUGCCUCGCUAGAGUCCGGAAGAGGAGAGCGGAAUUCCUGGUGUAGCGGUGAAAUGCGUAGAUAUCAGGAGGAACACCGGUGGUGUAGACGGCUCACUGGACCGUAACUGACGCUGAGACACGAAAGCGUGGGUAGCAAACAGG
This 253-nucleotide ribosomal RNA is filed under the name uncultured bacterium. Its description in RNAcentral is "partial 16S ribosomal RNA". It matches the Rfam family "Bacterial small subunit ribosomal RNA", at positions 524 to 776 of the family's 1533-position model. The record is from RNAcentral.